GGCCGGAGCGCUCCCUGCUACGAGCGGCCAGGCGCCUUGACCGCACAGGCUGGUGGGGAGGAGCGCGGCUGCGCGAACGCUUCUCUGAGCCCUGCCUUGGGACACCGGGACUACAUCUCCCAGCAGCCCUUGCGCUUCAGGCCGGGGGCGUGCGCAGUCGCGUCUCCAAUACCGCCCGCCUCAGCGGCGUCGCGCGGGGCGGCCAAAGAUGGCGGCACGCUGGAGCAGCGAGAAUGUGGUGGUGGAGUUCCGGGACUCGCAGGCAACUGCUAUGUCAGUGGAUUGUCUUGGACAGCAUGCGGUGCUCUCAGGCCGCCGUUUCCUCUACCUAGUUAACCUGGAUGUGCCAACCGAAGGUCACCGCAAGAUCUCCCGUCAGAGCAAAUGGGACAUUGGGGCAGUGCAAUGGAAUCCACAUGACAGCUAUGCACACUACUUUGCAGCUUCGAGCAACCAGCGAGUUGACCUGUAUAAAUGGAAAGAUGGUAAUGGGGAAGUUGGCACGUCACUGCAAGGGCACACGCGUGUGAUCAGUGAUUUAGACUGGGCGGUGUUUGAGCCAGAUCUGCUGGUUACCAGUUCUGUUGAUACGUACAUCUACGUUUGGGAUAUCAAGGACACCAGGAAACCUACAGUCUCACUCUCUGCAGUUGCUGGAGCCUCCCAGGUCAAAUGGAACAAGAAAAACGCCAGCUGUUUAGCAACCAGCCACGAUGGGGAUGUCCGUAUCUGGGACAAGCGGAAACCCAGCACUGCAGUGGAGUACUUGGCAGCGCAUCUCUCUAAAAUCCAUGGCCUGGACUGGCAUCCGGACAACGAGUACAUCCUGGCCACUUCCAGCCAGGACAACUCUGUCAGGUUCUGGGAUUACCGUCAGCCUCGGAAAUAUCUCAAUAUCCUCCCCUGCCAGGUUCCAGUCUGGAAGGCGAGAUACACGCCUUUCACCAACGGGCUGGUGACCGUGAUGGUUCCCCAGCUGCGGCGAGAGAACAGCCUCCUCCUUUGGAACACUUUUGACCUGAACACGCCAGUUCACACCUUCGUGGGACACGACGAUGUGGUGCUGGAGUUCCAGUGGAGAAAGCAGAAAGAAGGCUCCAAGGACUACCAGCUGGUCACGUGGUCUCGUGACCAGACGCUGCGGAUGUGGCGGGUUGACUCCCAGCUGCAGAGGCUGUGUGCUAACGAUAUCUUGGAAGGGGUUGACGAACUCAUUGAUGGGAUUGCCCUCCUGCCUGAGCCGGAUAAGACCCUCCACACCCAGGACUCUGAACCCCAGCAUAGCUCCGGGCAUGCAGACGAAGAAGCUUUAAAGGAAGAUUUCCAGAACGACCUCCUGGUGGGAAGAAAAUCGGACCAGCUGGGGCUGCCACAGACACUGCAGCAGGAGUUUUCCCUUAUCAACGUGCAGAUCCGUAACGUCAAUGUGGAGAUGGACGCAGUGAAUCGCAGCUGCACAGUGUCUGUGCACUGUGGGAACCAGAGAGUCAAGAUGCGGGUGAUGUUCCCGGUGCAGUAUCCCAAUAAUGCUGCACCCUCCUUCCAGUUUGCCCCCACUACCACUAUCAGCUCCACAAUGAAGGCAAAGCUGCUGAAGAUUUUGAACGACACUUCCCUGCAGAAGGUGAAGCGGAACCAGAGCUGCCUGGAGCCUUGCCUGCGUCAGCUGGUCUCCUACCUGGAGUCUGUUGUGAACCAGGACGACAGCACCUCCAGCAACCCCUAUGCUCUGACGAACACCGUAACACCGCCAUUGCCCACCUUCGCCCGGGUCUCUAAUGCCUACGGCUCCUACCAGGAUUCCAACAUCCCAUUUCCACGGACCUCUGGAGCCAGGUUCUGUGGUGCAGGUUACCUGGUAUAUUUUACAAGACCCAUGACAAUGCACCGUGCAGUCUCUCCUACAGAACCUACUCCCAGAUCUCUGUCAGCUUUAUCGGCCUAUCAUAGUGGCCUGAUCACGCCGAUGAAGAUCCGUACGGAAACCCCAGGCAAUCUGCGCUUGUACAGUGGGAGUCCCACCCGCAGUGAGAAGGAGCAGGUCUCCAUCAGCUCCUUCUACUACAAGGAGAGGAAAUCAAGGAGAUGGAAAAGCAAGCGUGAGGGGACAGAUGCCAAUAACCGACCUAUUAAAGCUGCUGGCAAAGUCAUCAUACAGGAUAUCUCUUGCCUGCUUCCCGUGCACAAAUCGCUAGGGGAGCAAUACAUACUGAACGUCAGUAACAUUCAGGAGACCUGCCAGAAGAAUGCCUCCUCAGCCCUGGCAGCUGGACGUAGGGAUCUUGUCCAGCCCAGCUUUACGUCUUCGGGCUCCUGUUCCAGCAUGUCAGAUCCUGGACUCAACACUGGAGGCUGGAACAUAGGUAUGGAGAGGCAGGGGAGUGGACAGGUAGAGGAAAUGACUUUAUUCGCAUGAGCACCCUAGGCAAUAAAUGGCUAUCUGUGGUGGUGAUGGUGGUAAAGAAUUGCAAGUGGUUGUGGAUCUGAGAAGCAAAGAGCAAAAUUCCAUGGUGUUUUUUUUUGGUGCGUCAGGUACCAUGGCUGGAAAUGAGCAUGACUCCAAGUGCCAUCUGCCCUUGUUAAUGGUUUAAUGUUGAUGUUUCUUAUGACUCUUCCGUCCUUCCAUAGUGUGUUCUGUCAAACUGUGCACUGGUGGAACGAGUCUCCCUGCAAAAUUCACCCUGAUGUGCACGAGGACUCCAGGUCACUGUCAGCCCGCUGGAUGGGAGAUCACACUGGAGCCAAAACCAGCUCUCUCUAUGGCAGUGUCUCUCCCCAUGGCAGAUGGGUGGUGGGACAAACCACUCAGGAUGACCCUAUUACUAGACAACAUGUCUCUCUGAUAUUGGACUACAAGGAACCGAGGCAGCUUGCUUUGUCUAAUAGAGCAAACCUUCCCCAAGCCCCAUUCAGCUUUCGAGGACUUGAUUCCAAACAUCCGUCCCAUCCCUUCUAUUUUCCCGGGUAUUUGUGACCAAAGAUAAGUAGUUGGCUGUGGCUGGUGAUAUUUUGCUCCUCUCCUGGCUUGGCAGAUGCUCCAGGUGACGCUGCCUUGUUGCUGUGCUGGUCACACAAGGUGAUAUGGGAUCAUUGCUGCCAGAGCACUUGUCCAGUUUGAAGCCAGUCGUUCUGUACACCGCAGCCCAUAGCCAUUACCAGUUGGGACACUUCAGAUAUUUGCUGGAAGGGCUAUGACCAGGGACUUCGCGUUUUCUCUCUACUCCAGAGUUGUGGGAGAGGCGCUUGCUUUUUGACUUUGCGAUGGCCUAGCUAGAAUAGUGGCAGUCGGGAAGGCUCGAGUGUCAGUGGCAGCCCUUACAAGUGACACAAAUACUUUGGAUCCUACAAGCAUUUCCCACCAAGUUAACGCUUUUCAGAAAAGUCAGCAUUCAGGGCUGACUUGUUUCCCCAGGGUCCAGUGUAAUGCCAUUUACAUGAUAUUUGACUCUCAAUGGCCUACCUGGCUGAGCACAACAUUGGGCCCAAGCAGCAGCAAACCUUUAAUCGCUCCAUGCAGUUUGCAGCUAUCUAUGGAACAGGGAAGGGAGCAGAAGCAAGGACAAUCCCACUGAUGUUGGUGUGCCACUCUUCUCCCUACACCCAGGGGUCAUGCGCUUCUCUGAAAGAUUUCCUCCAUGAGGCCCCUUUUGAUACCAGCGUCCUCACAUGGCCCUAGAGGAACAAGAAUCCUCCCCUCCCCCAGCCCAAGGUGUGGAACCCCUGACACCAGCGUGCUCCCAGCCACUGGGAAUGGAACUGUACUGAUGCUAACUUUCCUACCAGCACCCAGCGGUGCAAGUCUCCUGUGAAGUGAUCUGUGUGUUUUCAUAUGGGUUGGAAGACCAGGUGCAGCCUUCUGAAUCCAGAUUCCCUGUGUCCUGGGAGCCUUCUCCCCAUACAGUCAUUGCAUGGCCCCUUUGCUGGGGAGCUGGAGGGAUGCUCUCAAGAGGCUGAUUGCAAAUGAAAGGGUUGGCUCUGGCUCCCUGCGAUGUAGCAGUGUUUGUAAUGGUGUAGACCAGGGGUUCUCAGCCUUUUGCUAUCUGAGGCCCCCACAACAUGCUCUAAAACUCCACAGCCCACCUGUGCCUCAACAACUGGUUUUCUGCAUAUAAAAACCAGGACUGGUAUUAAGGGUUAGCAAGCAGGGCAAUUGCCCAGGGCCCCACAUCGCAGGGGGUACCAUGAAGCUAAGUUACUCAGGCUUCUGCUUCAGCCCCAGGUGGCGGGGCUCAGGGCCAUGCAGUGGAGCUUCGGCUUUCUGCCCUGGGCCCCAGCGAGUCUAACACUGGUCCUGCUUGGCAGACCCCCGAAACUUGCUCACAGCCCCCGGGGAGCGCCCCGGACCCCUGGUUGAGACGUACUGGUGUAGAAGACAAUAUUAACACUUCCUAGGGUGGGAGAGCACAUAGCUGCACAUGCUUCCAUCUAACUUUCACAUCUCCUCCCCACAUCACAGAGCCCCAUUCAUACCCCACUCAUCACUGCCUUUCUGGGGCACAUUAACCAUCUUUUGACUUGUGCAGCAAGCAAAGAGACAGAGCACACAUUCACCGCCUGGUGUGAGUCUUCGCCUGAUGACCUCCGCUACGGAAACCUGACGUACGCUGACCACCGGGAGCGCGAGAGAGAUCAACACGACAAGAACAAAAGGCUCCUGGACCCUGCCAACACU
Molecule: RNA transcript, 4672 nt
Organism: Chelonia mydas (Green sea turtle)
Lineage: Eukaryota; Metazoa; Chordata; Testudines; Cheloniidae
Gene: WDR59
Gene name: WD repeat domain 59
Exons: 22
Source: RefSeq, a predicted model, not a curated record